AUUGAACGCUGGCGGCAGGCCUAACACAUGCAAGUCGAGCGGAUGAAGGGAGCUUGCUCCUGGAUUCAGCGGCGGACGGGUGAGUAAUGCCUAGGAAUCUGCCUUGUAGUGGGGUAUAACGUCCGGAAACGGGCGCUAAUACCGCAUACGUCCUGAGGGAGAAAGUUGGGGAUCUUCGGACCUCACGCUAUCAGAUGAGCCUAGGUCGGAUUAGCUAGUUGGUGGGGUAAAGGCCUACCAAGGCGACGAUACGUAACUGGUCUGAGAGGAUGAUAAGUCACACUGGAACUGAGACACGGUCCAGACUACUACGGGAGGGAGCAGUGGGGAAUAUUGGACAAUGGGCGAGAGCCUGAUACAGCAAUGGCGCGUGUGUGAAGAAGGUCUUCGGAUUGUAAAGCACUUCAAGUUGGGAGGAAGGGCAGUAAGUUAAUACCUUGCUGUUUUGACGUUAACAACAGAAUAAGCACCGGCUAACUUCGUG
RNAcentral lists this ribosomal RNA (484 nucleotides) under uncultured bacterium. RNAcentral's name for it is "partial 16S ribosomal RNA". It matches the Rfam family "Bacterial small subunit ribosomal RNA", at positions 30 to 507 of the family's 1533-position model. The record is from RNAcentral.